AUGGAUGUUCAAAGAAUUGUCUCCAUCCCGCUGCCAGUUCAUGAGAUGACAGAUUUUGUGGCUUGGAGCUAUACAAAAACGAGUGUUUUUUCAGUGAGGUCUGCCUAUCACGUAGUCUGGGAUACUCUGUUCGGGCAACGAUUACAACAUGGUUGCAGCUCUUCCUCAACUACGCCCACUUGGGAGUCUGUUUGGUCUCUGAACUGUCCGGGAAAAGUCAAAAUUUUCAUUUGGAGAGCGCUCAACAGCUCAAUUCCUUGUCGUGCAAACUUGUCUGACAGGCAUAUUAAAAUUUCACCACAAUGUCCAGUUUGUAAAAGUGGACCUGAAAUAGUUCGACACCUUUUGUUCGAGUGCCUUGUGGCAGUGGAGGUUUGGAAUAUGCUUGGUCUGAUUGAUGUGAUAAAGCAAAGUUUUCUUAUGGACAAAUUUAGGGAGAGGGUUUUGGAGUUUCUUCUAAAUUUACCUGAGAACUAUGUCCAUAUCCUGGGACUGCCGAAACUGAAUGAAACAAUUGCAACAUGCUGCUGGUAUUUGUGGCUAGAAAGGAGGAAGCAUACGCAUGGGGGGACACCGCAAACUGCACCGCAAGUUAGUCUCUCAGUUCGAGCAAUGGCGGCAAACUUUAUCUCUGCUUAUUCACCUAAGGCGCGAGUACAUCUUGAUGGCUGGGUGAGACCGAGGCAUGAUUACGUCAAGCUUAAUGUAGAUGCGGGAUUCGAUGCUGAUACCCUUGAAGCCUCGGUUGGAGCUGUCAUCUGA
RNAcentral lists this ribosomal RNA (762 nucleotides) under Triticum aestivum (bread wheat). RNAcentral's name for it is "partial small subunit ribosomal RNA". Lineage: Eukaryota; Viridiplantae; Streptophyta; Magnoliopsida; Poales; Poaceae. The record is from RNAcentral.